Molecule: ribosomal RNA, 549 nt
Filed under: uncultured bacterium
Lineage: Bacteria
Description: bacterial SSU rRNA
Rfam family: Bacterial small subunit ribosomal RNA
Source: RNAcentral
UAGGGAAUCUUCCACAAUGGACGCAAGUCUGAUGGAGCAACGCCGCGUGAGUGAAGAAGGUCUUCGGAUCGUAAAACUCUGUUGUUAGAGAAGAACACGAGUGAGAGUAACUGUUCAUUCGAUGACGGUAUCUAACCAGCAAGUCACGGCUAACUACGUGCCAGCAGCCGCGGUAAUACGUAGGUGGCAAGCGUUGUCCGGAUUUAUUGGGCGUAAAGGGAACGCAGGCGGUCUUUUAAGUCUGAUGUGAAAGCCUUCGGCUUAACCGGAGUAGUGCAUUGGAAACUGGAAGACUUGAGUGCAGAAGAGGAGAGUGGAACUCCAUGUGUAGCGGUGAAAUGCGUAGAUAUAUGGAAGAACACCAGUGGCGAAAGCGGCUCUCUGGUCUGUAACUGACGCUGAGGUUCGAAAGCGUGGGUAGCAAACAGGAUUAGAUACCCUGGUAGUCCACGCCGUAAACGAUGAAUGCUAGGUGUUGGAGGGUUUCCGCCCUUCAGUGCCGCAGCUAACGCAAUAAGCAUUCCGCCUGGGGAGUACGACCGCAAGGUU